Non-coding RNA from Auriculariales sp. MPI-PUGE-AT-0066, 92 nucleotides. NCBI's taxonomy places the organism in Eukaryota, Fungi, Basidiomycota, Agaricomycetes, Auriculariales. The record is from the annotation of a GenBank genome assembly.
GGCACUAUGGCCGAGUGGUUAAGGCGAUUGACUAGAAUUAUCUCUAAAUCAAUUGGGCUCUGCCCGCACAGGUUCAAGUCCUGUUGGUGUCG